UUUCCGUAGGUGAACCUGCGGAAGGAUCAUUACUGAGCGAGGGCCCCUCGGGGUCCAACCUCCCACCCGUGUUUAACGAACCUUGUUGCUUCGGCGGGCCCGCCUCACGGCCGCCGGGGGGCAUCUGCCCCCGGGCCCGCGCCCGCCGAAGCCACCUGUGAACGCUGUCUGAAGUAUGCAGUCUGAGACAAUUAUUAAAUUAAUUAAAACUUUCAACAACGGAUCUCUUGGUUCCG
This 236-nucleotide unclassified non-coding RNA is filed under the name plant metagenome. RNAcentral's name for it is "partial contains small subunit ribosomal RNA, internal transcribed spacer 1, and 5.8S ribosomal RNA". The record is from RNAcentral.